UUGUGACAAUUCUUAGAAUAAUGAAUGGAUGGUGCUACCUUUCCAUCAUAUCUAAGAAAGAAGAAAACAAAUCAAAUAUCAAUUGAAAUUAUUUCCUCUAUCUUGGGUCAUAGAUAUAAAUUACCUACAAUCCCGUGUGAAGUUUAUACUAUGAGAGUAGGUGCUAGAAUAUAUAAGUAGAUGUAAGAGAAUUUGCAUAUGGUUUAUAUCCUUGCCUCACUACCGUUUCCUUUUGGUCAGUAUCUCACUUCCCUAGGAAUUGAGGUAGAGCAUGUUCGUUACCAGCUACUGGAGGUGUUGUCUGUGUGGGUCUGCUAGCUGCGAUAGAGAAGCAAAGUAAGUGGUGCCAUUUAUAUCUAAUAUCGAUCGUUUGAAUUUCUAAUUCUUACAUAUGGGCACCCGUUAUGCUGUCACAUAUGAAAAUGUGAAUACCAAGCUCCAGUACUCGGCUGAUUAGGUGCUGAUGAUCGAGAGUAUCUCUCUCAGAUCAGUGUUGAUUCACUUCUUUCUGCAGCUAGAAAUCAACAGAGGUGCGAUAGGCUGACAUCAUUGAGUUACUUACUUCCUCUCUUCGGUCACUAUCGUAGUCUUGUGUAAUGAUGUGAUGCAAUGCUGAUAGUAAUUCUCGAACCAUUAUAUAGACUAUUGUGUCAUCUAUCUCAGCAUGUUGUUGUUAGCUAUGCCAUGAUUAGAUAACACUUUUAAUCUCAUGCGGGAUGCUGCUUGUUUUUCCAGUGCUAGGUAUGGGAUGCUACUGCUGCUGAUCCGAAUUUACUUGUGCAUCUCAGGUCCUACAGGAACACCAUGUGUGCUCUGAGUCACUGUUCCCAGAAGCACAAGUUCUUGUAGGUUUGUGAGCCUUUAGUAUUUUGGUGUUACUCUGGUAAUCAUAUUCUAUUGAAAUUGAUUGAAAUCAGAUCAUCUCAGCUUCGCUGGCAUUUUCGAGAUGUCCUGAUUUGGAAUUAACAAAAUGUUGUUUUCUCCUUUUACACUUCAUGUAUUGCGGACAUUUUGUUCCACCUAGCAUACUUGCUUCUGUAAAUAAUUUUACUGCUCACUAUGAAGUUAUUGUAAAUAACUAUGGGGUGAGUGGCCACACCGCCGGUUGUGGCGGUGGGGAAAAGCUAACACUUUCGACGAGAAGAGGAGAAUGAGAGGGUUAGGAGGACCGAUCCGGUGACCAAGAAGAAGCCCAAUAGCAACCUUCUUCAGCUCUAGGAGUGGAGAAUGGAGCCAUGGCCUUCAAGACAAUGGUAACAGGGUUGAUGGAGAAGUACGACAGGACCCUGGUUUGACAUUUUUGUGGCAUAUUACUUUCAGCGGUCUAAUAAGAUUUGUGCUUGGUUUUAUUUAUAUACAUUGCUCAUAUUUGUUUGUUUUCCUUUUGAGUUUAUUUCUCUUUGUAAGGAUCGUUGCAUCCUAAUUUCUUGUUGUUUCUCUUGAUCUGUGUGCGAUGAAACCCCGACAUCGGAAAACAUUCUGCUGCAUAUGAUGUUUAUUUAUUAGCAGGGACCUUUUUGAGUUUUUCGUGGGAGGACGCCAAGUAUAACUACCAAGAUACCUGCGAGAACCUCAAGAGCACGAUAUUCCUUGUUGCUUAUUAUGACUGACAUGCCCAAGCCUGGUAUUUCAUCUGGUUCUGCCAGGAUAGGAGAGGAGAUUAGUUCCUUGCGUUUUACCUUCUAGAUAUGUGGUGGCAAGGAUUUGGAAGGUCUAUAUGAGCUCCUCCUUCUGGUGAUGUUAUGCAGUGAGGUGAUGGGAAAGAUCUUGCUUGUCUCUCCACAUCUGGUGUCACAUGCCUAACCGAAGAUCAUAAGCACCAGCUAAACAACUUCCCAUUUUGAUUUAUUUGUCUCUAGGCCAUGGGGCGAUAUCGACAACAGUCCACUCCAGCCAUGCUCCUGAUCCG
Molecule: long non-coding RNA, 1909 nt
Organism: Lolium rigidum
Lineage: Eukaryota; Viridiplantae; Streptophyta; Magnoliopsida; Poales; Poaceae
Exons: 5
Source: RefSeq, a predicted model, not a curated record